AUGGCUAGAAAACACUUUUCUGACCAGGAGGCAUCACAGGUCUAUGGACCAAACCCUGGCUGCCAGGGACAAAUCUACAUCUGGCUCUGCUGCUUACCUGGGCAAGGUGUUGAGCCUAUUUUUUCAACUGUAAAGGAGGUUUUUGGGAGCUGCGAUAGAGGAAAAUCAGAAACAGAGACCUUGGAAUUAAACUCAAGUCAGGACACUUGCCCUGAAUUUUCUGAUUAUUCAAAGGCAGAUGGAAGAGGUAAGAUGCUGAAGAGAAAAAGAAUCCUGCACCUACCAGAGAUGGGACCACAGGAGUCGCCUCUCAAACUCCUCUUCCCAGGUCCACUAUCACCACCACCUCCCAGCACCACAGCCAUCACCAGUUGAGGAUCCCCAGCAGAGAGCUUCCAGAACAGACUUUUCAAAUAUCUCCCUUCCUUAUAAAUCUUACCUGAAGCUCAUGAUAAAGCUAAAACAUCUCAGCCUGAUAUUCCUGAGUCCUCUAUUGUCCUGUGACUGAGCCCACCAAGAAGUGAAUUCUGAGAACAAUGUAUAUCCUGUAUAAUCCAGGGUUCUCCAGAAAAAUAGAACCAAUAGGGAAGAGAUUUAUUACCAGGCAUUGAUUCACAUGAUUACAGAGGCUGAGAAGGCCAAC
RNAcentral lists this long non-coding RNA (643 nucleotides) under Castor canadensis (American beaver). RNAcentral describes it as "lncRNA (ENSCCNG00000004613.1)". Lineage: Eukaryota; Metazoa; Chordata; Mammalia; Rodentia; Castoridae. The record is from RNAcentral.